UGGGGAAUCUUGCGCAAUGGGCGAAAGCCUGACGCAGCGACGCCGCGUGAGGGAAGAAGGCCUUCGGGUUGUAAACCUCUUUCAGGAGGGACGAAGCCACUCGGGUUAAUACCCCAGAGGGUGACGGUACCUCCAGAAGAAGCCCCGGCUAACUACGUGCCAGCAGCCGCGGUAAUACGUAGGGGGCAAGCGUUGUCCGGAAUUAUUGGGCGUAAAGCGCGUGUAGGCAGCCAGAUAAGUCCGCUGUGAAAUCUCGAGGCUCAACUUCGAGCUGUCGGUGGAAACUGUCUGGCUAGAGUCCGGAAGAGGAGAAUGGAAUUCCUGGUGUAGCGGUGAAAUGCGCAGAUAUCAGGAAGAACACCCGUGGCGAAGGCGGUUCUCUGGGACGGUACUGACGCUGAGACGCGAAAGCGUGGGGAGCGAACAGG
RNAcentral lists this ribosomal RNA (428 nucleotides) under bacterium. Its description in RNAcentral is "partial 16S ribosomal RNA". It matches the Rfam family "Bacterial small subunit ribosomal RNA", at positions 355 to 776 of the family's 1533-position model. The record is from RNAcentral.